RNAcentral lists this ribosomal RNA (174 nucleotides) under uncultured Actinomycetes bacterium. Its description in RNAcentral is "uncultured actinobacterium partial 16S ribosomal RNA". It matches the Rfam family "Bacterial small subunit ribosomal RNA", at positions 338 to 524 of the family's 1533-position model. The record is from RNAcentral. Lineage: Bacteria; Bacillati; Actinomycetota; Actinomycetes.
CCUACGGGAGGCAGCAGUGGGGAAUAUUGCACAAUGGGCGGAAGCCUGAUGCAGCGACGCCGCGUGAGGGAUGACGGCCUUCGGGUUGUAAACCUCUUUCAGCAGGGACGAAGCGCGAGUGACGGUACCUGCAGAAGAAGCACCGGCUAACUACGUGCCAGCAGCCGCGGUAAU